RNAcentral lists this microRNA (22 nucleotides) under Homo sapiens (human). Its description in RNAcentral is "hsa-miR-3135a". Lineage: Eukaryota; Metazoa; Chordata; Mammalia; Primates; Hominidae. The record is from miRBase by way of RNAcentral.
UGCCUAGGCUGAGACUGCAGUG